This is a long non-coding RNA of Python bivittatus (Burmese python), 2010 nucleotides long. RefSeq lists it as uncharacterized. Lineage: Eukaryota; Metazoa; Chordata; Lepidosauria; Squamata; Pythonidae. The record is from RefSeq and is a predicted model, not a curated record.
AAUGAAUAUGGAGAAUUGUUUAUGGCGUAAUAGUUACAGCUUUGGCCAAGCAGAAACAAAGAAACCUGAUCUUACAGUCAAGAAAAAUUGGGAAAAACAGAAAAAGGGAAGAAGGCAAACGGCUGCAACAGGAUGCCGCUAGCUUAACCACAAACUGCAGCUAUUUACAGGAACACGGUAGCCUUUAAGAUGACACGUUCUCUGAAACCCUUUCUGCUGCUCGCCAACAAUCCUUUAACCACAAGAUCCACCAAUGCUGGUUUGAGAGGCGCUCUUGAGAGGAGCACGAAAGGAGGAUGGUCAUGUUUACGUGCCACCACAGACAUUCAGGAACCCAGGGUUAGCUGAACCAGAGUGAAUCCACCUUUGAACUGAACAUCACCUCCUUCAGACCUCCCAGAAAAUGACCUUUUCUAGAGAUCAGGAUGGAUAAUAAGUUUAACAAACUGUUUGAUGAAUCCUCGGUCUAGUGAAGUCCAUGCAGUCCCUCUGAAUGCCCAGCUGCGUGGAAAUACAGCAGUGUCCCAGGGUGGACGAACACAGUGAUGCCCCAAAGACCGAGAGAAGAUCAAAGGAUGACUGAUGGAUAAAAGGACCAAGAAUCAGGAGAUGUUCUUCCAUGAUCAAGAACUGCCCAAGAAUAGCUAGACCUCUCUCCAAAUUGUCUCCUAAAAUGGUAACCGUAUUCCAUGACAAGAUAGAUGAAAACCAGCUUUUCAGAGGCCAACACGUUUAGGUUAUAAACUAGGAGACCAAGAGGAGCUUUGUGUGUAAGCUGGGAGGAGUGUGUGAAGCGUGUAAGGAUUGUGUGUGCAGAGUGCAAGAGCUUCUCUGUUCUGUAACUUGCUCUUUUAUUUGCUGUUUUUCACCUGCUGUUUCUCUCGCUGCCUUUUCCUCACUGGGAAAACUUGCUGGAAUCGAGGAACCACAAUACAAAGCAACUUUUGAUAAUUCUGAUUACUAGUUUAGAUAACCGCUCUGUCUACACUACGUGGGAAAAUCAUCUUGAUCAGCAGUGUGUAGCACUAAUUAGUAUUCAAUGUAUACUAAUUUUAUACUCUUGAAAUGUAUUCAAGGGAGAACUAUAUUUGAACUUUGAUUCAAUAAUUGUGAGGAACCAUUAUACUGUAUAUUGUGGGUUCUAUGUGAUUGUGUCCACAAAGAUCUUGAGAGGGGAGGAAAUGUCUCCCUGUUUUCCCCCUCCCAUCCAAAGUCCACUUCCAGUAUAUACAAUAUCUAAAUAUUGUACUUUUAGUAUCUAAAAUCUAUCCUAUUGUGAUGGAACAAACCUCUGCCCACAACACUCUGGGCUUUCCUGGCAACAAAAGUGUCUAAACAAUUUCAUCUUUAGAUAGGUCAUGAGUCCCUGCUCAUCAUCAUUCACAUCCUGCCAUCUCUUGCAUGGAGUACCAUCAUCUGUCUCUACAGAGUUGCCCUUGAAGACCCCCUGAAAAUUUCAGGGGUCCAGAAUGCAGUGGAUGGGUGCAAUUCAAGGUGGUGGUUGCCACUUUUAAAGACCUUCAUGGCUUAAGAACUGGGUGAUCCAACCAAGCAGAAGAUACAGGUGAAGUCUUGUGCAGUUGGCCAACACGUCCAGGAAACAUACCACCGAGAUAAUGGGGGAUUUCAACUACCCAGCAUCAACUGGGAAUCAAACUCUGCAGUGAGUGGGAGAUCCGACAGGCUCUUGAUGUGCCAAGCAAACAAUUUCAUUGUCCAAAAUGUGGAGGAGGAAAACAGGGGAUCAGUGCUAUUGGACUUAAUGGUUACUACUAGGGAAGACAUGGUUGAAGAAGUUGUAGGAGCUGUGAGAGAGAGUGACCAUGUGAAUCUAGAAUUCACCAUACUGCAGGCAAGGAGAACUGAAGGUAGAUGGAUUAGUGUCCUAGAUUUCAAGAGAGUUGACUUCAACAAAGUAAGGGAAAAGAUAGGAAGGGUUCCAUGGACAGAAAUCCUGAAGUGAAAAACAGGUCAGGAGAGUUGGGAAAUUCUGAAAAUGAGAUAACUAAG